CGAGUUACCGAGGUGCCGAAGGGAAACCGUGAAACGUGCCGCCUGGGAAGUACGGUCGCAAGGCUGAAACUUAAAGGAAUUGGCGGGGGAGCACCACAACAGGUGGAGCCUGCGGUUUAAUUGGACUCAACGCCGGGAAGCUCACCGGAUAAGACAGCAGAAUGAUUGUCGGGCUGAAGACUCUGCAUGACUAGCUGAGAGGAGGUGCAUGGCA
RNAcentral lists this ribosomal RNA (214 nucleotides) under uncultured Methanoculleus sp. RNAcentral describes it as "partial 16S ribosomal RNA". It matches the Rfam family "Archaeal small subunit ribosomal RNA", at positions 786 to 999 of the family's 1478-position model. The record is from RNAcentral. Lineage: Archaea; Methanobacteriati; Methanobacteriota; Methanomicrobia; Methanomicrobiales; Methanomicrobiaceae.